RNAcentral lists this unclassified non-coding RNA (351 nucleotides) under plant metagenome. RNAcentral's name for it is "partial contains 5.8S ribosomal RNA, internal transcribed spacer 2, and large subunit ribosomal RNA". The stretch from base 1 to 105 matches the Rfam family "5.8S ribosomal RNA", at positions 50 to 154 of the family's 154-position model. The record is from RNAcentral.
GAAGUGCGAUAAGUAGUGUGAAUUGCAGAAUUCCGUGAAUCAUCGAAUCUUUGAACGCAAAUUGCACUCUCUGGUAUUCCGGAGAGUAUGCCUGUUUGAGGGUCGGUAAGAUGAAAAAUCGUUAUGUCGCUUUUGGGGCGUGACGGAGUUGGGUUUUCUUUACCCUUCGGGGUUCAAAGUGACCUAAAAUUCAUUUUAAAAUUAUCCUUCGAUAUGAUUGCGUACUAAUUUUUGUGUCGCUUGAGUAAUCGAUGGUAAACAUAUUAGGCGUGACCAUCUUGAUGGAAUCGCGCUUAUAAUAUUUCGAGAAACGACCUCAAAUCAGGUAGGAGGACCCGCUGAACUUAAGCA